Molecule: long non-coding RNA, 2658 nt
Organism: Equus caballus (horse)
Lineage: Eukaryota; Metazoa; Chordata; Mammalia; Perissodactyla; Equidae
Source: RefSeq, a predicted model, not a curated record
AGGUUCAUCCAUGUUGCACUGUACUGACAGAAUUUCAUUCCAUUUUGUGGCUGAAUAAUAUUCCAUUGUAUGUAUUCCUGACUGGAAUCCUCCACAGGUCACUCAAUAAUAGAACCAUCAGAGUUUCGUCUAAACAGAACUGCCCAGCAAGAGAUUACAUUUCCUAGUCUACCUUGAAGGGAGGAGAGAGGAUGGGAACAAAGAUGGACCAAUGAACUGUCUUUUACCAGGAGAAUGAGGACUACACUCUAGGGGCUAGUUCGCAACACAAUAGGAGAAUCUGAGUCCCUGAAUGAUCUCCUGCAUCAAAAUCCCUGCUAGCCAGAAUUGGAUGAACUCCUAUAUGAGACAGAAAAAAAUCUACCACCUUGAUAAAUUCACUAUAUCUUUGGAGAUUUUAUGUUACAGUAGCUUAGUCUAUACCCUAAAUAUUAUAAUUGAAUUAUAAGAAUAUGGAUUGAUGAGGAAUAUCUUUGAAAUAGAGAAACACAACCAUAUUAACACUUUAAAUGUUUUCAUCACAUCUUAAGCUAUUGAUAAAUAAGGGACUGUCCUUAAUCUUCAUAUUCCUAGCAUUUAUCCUAUUGCCUAACACGGUAAUCAAUGCAUUUUUUUCCCUUAAUUAGUCAGAUAAUUCACAUAAUAACAUUGGCAAAGUAAGAAUGGUUGUAUGAUUCAAAUAGUUUUUAAAAUGAACAUUAAUUCUGCCUCCUUCACCCAUUAAUUAUAGUUGUCUCCCUAGUGUCUAACUCUGUGCCUUCUCAUCAAGAUUUGAAUUGAAUUACUACUCAUCAUAUCUGUCCCAUCUGAAUGAAAAAUGCCCUUGAUUCCUAUUUGUUUGUCCUAGAAGAUUCUAAUCAUUUAUUUUAACAGAAAAUUUAGAACAACAGUAGACUAAGUGUUUGGUAAGUUUGGAGACGUGCUUGUUAGAAAAAGAUUUAAACCUUCCUUUUAUUUUUAUAGUCCCACAGCCAAAUUUUCAAUAGUAAAUUCCAUACGCAAUACAGUAUUCCAAAAUAUUAUUAGAUCACACAGAAAUAAAUCCUCAAAUAAUCUCUUCCACACACACAAACUUAAUUUAAACAAGAAAAGCGCCCAAUUCUAUUUGCAAUAAUUAUCUGAGUGGCAAUACUCAUUAAUGUGGUUUCUAACCAAAUAUAAAUAAAGAAUAUGUGUGGAGAACACUGGAAUAAUAAAACCGGGCCACAAUAUUCAACACAAUGGAAGGAAAAACUGCCAUUCAUCUUCCUGUUGAUUAUCAAAUUGCAUUUCCUUCUUCAAGCUCAUUAAUACUGGAUGUGGUAUUGUUUUCUUCAGUAAGUGAAAAAUCAGAUUGUGAAAUUGAAAAUGCUACAUGAGGGAUGCAGUCUGAUACAUUGGACAGAGCAAUGAAUUUGGAGUUAGAAGACCUGGGUUCCACUGAAUUCUGGCUCUGCCACUAAAUUUCAGUUUUUUACUUUCAACAAGUUAUUAAUGCUUUCUAAGCUUAAAAUUCUUACUUUAUAAGACUAGCAGGAUGGGCUAGAUGAUUAAUAAGUUAUUUUCUGGUUAUAGAGUUUUGUGAUUCUAUCAAUUUCCCAGUGUAUCCCAUAACAUUAAAAACUCAUCCAACAUACAUUAAUUAAGGAAUAUACUUUGUGUUAGGCACCAAGUUAGAUCAAAGUUGAAGGUAAAUGAUGAAGAUAGACAUGAUCUCUGUCCUCCUGGAGCUUACAGUCAAAUGGAAAGACAGAGACUGUAUUAAUAUUAUAACACUAAAUAAUUAGUUGCAUUUGUGGGAUGUGCCACCAAGAAAGGUAGACAAUGCUAUAAGAUAUAAAAUAAACAAACCUAUUCUACUCUAGAAUGCUAGGGAAUCUUCUCUGAUUAAGAAACAUUUAAGCCAAGACCUGUAGGACAAUAGCCAGGCAAAGAGGAACAGAGGGGAAGUCCAGACAGAGGAAACAGCAGGAGCAAAUUCCUUGUGUUGGAAGAGAGUUCUUGGCCCAUUUAAGUUAGUGAAAACAAGCCAGUGUUGCUGGAGCACACAGAGUGAGGGAGAAAGUGGUACAAAAUGCAACUGGAGAAGUAAGCAAGGUCAGUUCAUUUGGAACCGUAAAGACAAACAUAUUAUGAAUUUUGGACUCUGUACAAAGAUAUACAGGAUGAGACAGAACAGUUUUAGAUAAGGAUGCAAUAUGACAGUUUUGCCUUGAAAACAUUACUCUAUUGGGAAUAGUGUUGGUGGCAGUUGUGGAUAUGAGGAGACCAGAUCAAAGUUCUAUCAUAUCAGAUGGGCAAGAGAUGACAGAGAUAACAGGGUUCUUAUAGAUAAAAUGAAAAGAAGUGGAUGGAUUUUUGUAUUUAUUUAGAAGCAAGGAUUUACCAAAAGUGUGAUUAAUUUGGAUACUGGUAUUGAAGAAGUGUGAAAUUUCCAAGGUCAUUCCAUAUUCUCAGUCUUUGGCAGCUAGUAGAUGUGGAAAACAUAUACUAAGCUGGCUUAUACCACAGGAAUGAUCACUUUGGAGAAGGGGGGAAUUAUGAUUUUAUUUUGGAAUAAUGAGUUUGUGCUGUGCACACAACAACCAAGGAAAAUGUUGAACACUAUUUAGACAGAGGUCUAAAUUUUAAUAGAGGUGUUUGAGAUAUAUAAUAUAUAGUAUUUUAUAUAUAUUGUAA